CCUUAGCUUCCUCUUCAGAGUCCUUUCAGGUUCAAGAUCAACCUCAAUAAGAAUGUUCUUAUCCUUGCUCCUGCUCAUAUGAAAAAGAAGAAAACAGAAAAAAAAAUAUAGAAUCCUCUAUGUCACAGUAUAGAGAUUCCUUUAUGUGAGUAGAAGAAUAUAUGAAUAGAAGAAGGAGAAUUCAAACACAAGGGUGAGGAGUAGGUUCGAAUUCUUGGGUGAAAAAGGAAUGUUAGUAGAUGAAUAAAUAAAUAGAAGAAUUUUCGAAAAUUAGAUAAAAUAAAAUAAAAGUAUUUUUGUUUUUAAAUUAAAAAUUAAAAUUAAAAAUUCAAAACUUAAUCAAGGAAAAUUAAAUCAAAUUAAUUAAAUUUAAAACAAUUAGUUAAUUUAAAAAGGAAUUUUGAAGAAGAGGGAAGGGAUUUUCAAAAAUUAGAGAGAGAGAGAGAGUUAGUUAGGUAGUUUUGAAAAGAUAUGAUUGAAAUAAUAAACUUUUAAAAUCGAACAAAAAGUCAAGUAGUUAAUUAAAAAAGAUUUGAAAAUCAAUUUUUGAAAAGAUAAGAAGUUAGAAAAGAAGUUGGAAAAGAUUUUGAAAUUGAUUUUGAAAAAGAUGUGAUUGACAUUUAUUUUGAAAAAGAUUUGAAAAAGAAAUUUAAAAAGAUUUGAUUUUUGAAAUCAAAGUUGAUUACUUGACUAACAAGAAACUUGAAGAUAUGAUUUUAAAAUUUAAAAAUUGAACCUUUCUUAAUAGGCAAGUAACAAACUUAAAAAUUUUGAAUCAAUCACAUUAAAUGUUAACAUUGAAUUCGAAAAAGAUAAGAAAAAGAUUUUGAAAAUCAAUUUGAAAUUUUCGAAAAUAUGAAAGAAAAAAUGAAAAAGAUUUGAGUUUUGAAAAAGAAUUGAAAAAGAUAAAAUUUUUAAAUUGAAAAUUUGAUUUGACUCAUAAGAAACAACUAAAUUUUAAAAAAUUUUGAAAAAGUCAACUCAAAUUUUCGAAAAUUUAUGAGUGAAAAAGGGAAAGAUAUUUUUUUAAUUUUUAAACUUUUAAUGAUGAGAGAGAAAAAUACCAAAAAGACUCAACGCAUGAAAAUUGUGGAUCAAAACAAAUGAUGCAUGCAAGAACACUAUGAAUGUCAAGAUGAACACCAAGAACACUUUGAAGAUCAAGAUGAACAUCAAGACUUAUUUUUGAAAAUUUUUUAGAAAAGAAAAACAUGCAAGACACCAAACUUAGAGAUUUUUCAUGUUUAGAUACUAUGAAUGCAAAAAUGCAUAUGAAAAACAACAAAAGACACAUAACAAGAAAAUAUGAAGAUCAAACAAGAAGACUUGUCAAGAACAACUUGAAGAUCAUGAAGAACACAUGCAUGAGUUUUCGAAAAAUGCACAAAUUUUAAAAAUAUGCAAUUGACACCAAACUUAAAAACUGACACAAGAUUCAAGCAAGAAACACAAAAAUUAUUUUUGAUUUUAUGAUUUUAUAAUAUUUUUUUUUUUGGAUUUUUCGAAAAUUAUUUUGGAAAAACGAAAAAAGAAUAAAUUUUUUUAUAUUAUUUUCGAAAAUAAGAAAUAAAAAGCUUAAAAAUAAAAUAAAAUUACCUAAUCUGAGCAACAAGAUGAACCGUCAGUUGUCCAAACUCGAACAAUCCCCAGCAACAGCGCCAAAAACUUGGUGCGCAGAAAUCGUGACGGUUCCAUUCCUUGGUAACGGCGCUAAAAACUCAAUACGCACGUUCAUAAUCUUAGUUCUUUGUCACAACUUCGCACAACUAACCAACAAGUGCACUAGGUCGUCCAAGUAAUAAACCUUACGUGAGUAAGGGUCAAUCCCACGGAGAUUGUCGGCUUGAAGCAAGCUAUGGUAUAGGAUCCAUUGAUCCUUUUGCGUCUGUCACUAUGCCCAGCACUCGCGAGUUUGAAGCUCGUCGCAGCCAUCCCUUCUCAGAUCCUACUCGGAAUACCACAGACAAGAUUUAGACUUUCCGGAUCUCAAGAAUGGUCGUCCAUGGAUUCUAACUUAUACCACAAAGAUUCUGAUUAAGGAAUCCCAGAGAUACUCAUUCAAUCUAAGGUAGAACGGAAGUGGUUGUCAGGCACGCGUUCAUCGGUUGGGAAUGAUGAUGACUGUCACGAUCAUCCAUUCAUAUUGAAAUGCGAAUGAAUAUCUUAGAAUCAGAAUAAGCUUGAAUUGAAUAGAAAAACGAUAGUACUUUGUAUUAAUUCAUGAGGAUCAGCAGAGCUUCACACCUUAAUCUAUGGUGUGUAGAAACUCUACCGUUGAAAAUACAUAAGUGAUGAAGGUUCAGGCAUGGCCGAAUGGCCAGCCCCCAAACGUGAUCUAAAGAUGAAACUAAAGAUGUAAAUACAAUAGUAAAAAGUCCUAUUUAUGCUAAACUAGUUACUAGGGUUUAUAGAAAUGAGUAAAUGAUGUAGAAAUCCACUUCCGGGGCCCACUUGGUGUGUGCUUGGGCUGAGCAUUGAGCUUUACACAUAUAGAGGCUUCUCUUGGAGUUGAACGCCAGUUUGUAACCUGUUUCUGGUGUUUAACUCCACUUUGCAACCUGUUUCUGGCGUUUAACUCCAGAAUGCAGCAUAGAACUGGCGUUGAACGCCAGUUUGCAUCAUCUAAACUCGGGAAACGUAUGGACUAUUAUAUAUUUUUGGAAAGCCCUGGAUGUAUACUUUCCAACGCAAUUGAGAGCGCACCAUUUGGAGUUCUGUAGCUCCAGAAAAUCCACUUUGAGUGCAGGGAGGUCAGAAUCCAACAGCAUCUGCAGUCCUUCUUCAACCUCUGAAUUUGAUUUUUGCUCAAGUCCCUCAAUUUCAGCCAGAAAAUACUUGAAAUCACAUAAAAACACACAAACUCAUAGUAAAGUCCAGAAAUGUGAUUUUUAUUUAAAAACUAAUAAAAAUAUACUAAAAACUAACUAAAUUAUACUGAAAACUAUGUAAAAACAAUCCCAAAAAGCAUAUAAAUUAUCCACUCAUCAAACACCCGUUGUGGGUCAAAUGAACUUGGAUAUUAGCUAUUACAGUUUUUUUGUUAGUAAUGCAAUGCUAUGUUAUGUAUUACUUAACCAACUUUAAUUUCGUAAACACCUUGCAAAACACGUACAGGGCAAUGCAAUCAUUCAUAUAAAUGAACUGUGAAUUUUUUUUUUUUGGUGCAACAAUACAACACACUUUUUCAUUCCUUUAUCAAUUCUUACAACUUAGAACAGCAAAACUCAACACAAUGACAAUAACACAAAUACACCAUCUUAUUGAGUUUUUUUUCAUCUCUAGAGCUACUAUCCUCUUCUCCAAGCAUGUGAUCUUCAUUUCCAUGUCUUGCUUCCCGUGAUAAUCUUCAACAUCCACAAAUUCCUUCUUUCUCAUAUACUUUGUUUCUAUCAAUCCAAGUCCAACAUCGUGCUCAUCAAGCCACAAAAAAAAAUUUGCAAUACGGUUGUCUUGCCUGCAGCAAAUCAAUCCACAUAAUUCAAAAACAAAAAACUGGUAACCCUAACACAUCUUCAAGCACACCUUCCACACAGUCGGUUACCAUACCUUGUAAAAGGGACAGCCCAGAAACAAUCUGUCCAGAUUGCUUCGCGUCUUCGACAUGAAAAGGAUUGCGUUUUCUCCACAAAAGCACGUUGGUGAGAUGCCAUCUUUGCCAUCCUUCCCGUUAGGAUGCGAGCUCGAGCCGAACUAACCUCCACUUCUUUUCCAACUUGAUAAUACUCCUUCAGAUGCCAUGGAAGGAAGAAUUUCCUUUAUUCCUCUACUCCCCACAACACCCACUUCGCCGUUUCUGUGCAGACGAGGGAUUAGGGCAAAGAAAUUUGAAAAAUUGGGGGAGGUAACGAAACGGCGUCGUUUUCGUCUCCAGGGACUUAUAUGUCCUGUUUUGAAAAGCUCCUUGCCACGUGGGCUCCAUAAUGGCCAGGUCAGCGCCACCUCUGCCAGGUCAGAAUUUUCCGUCCAGUCCAAAUGCCUGAAUUCAACGGAAGGGUCGAAAUGUCCACGUUUUUCGGGGGUGAGAGACUUGAAUGUAUUUUUCCUUCCUUGAGGACAAUAAUGUCCACAAAAAAAGGUCAGGAACCUAUUUGUUCUUUAAUCUUUAAAAUAAUAUCCACCAAUUAAAAGAUAACAAGCUUUCUGCAUCUGACCCAAAAAAAUCAAAUAAUAACCCUUAAUGGACCUUAAUAUACCUUCAGCAAAAAUUAUCAUUGAGUUUUGAUCUGUUAAUAAAAAAUUUGUACUGACUUCAGACUGGUAAAAUUGGGCUUGCCAUUGGCCCACUACAGACCACAAGGGUCUCCAAUGCAUAGCCUCAUUUGUCACCUCUCUCAGAAUUGUAUCUCUUCUCCCCUUUUUCCGGAAAUAGAUAUUUUCAAUUUUUUUUAAUACUUGAGGGAAUAAAGUGUGAUCUCUCACCAUUAAUUUUAUAAGUGGGACUAAAAAUAAAUAUGAGAGAGAGCAAUAAAGGGUUAGAUUAAACAAUUCACGCCAUCCACUUUUUCUCCACUGGAGAGGAUCUGCUCCCCCUUUUCCUCGUGCUCUGCUUCCUUCAUCCACCUUGUUCUAAAUCCAUACUCGUGGUUCCAUGAAAAAAUCGCCACCGCAACUCCAUCCCCCACACAGCUGGCCGUCGCAAGCUCACAUGGGGAACCGGUACUACCUUUCCACUCCCGUCUCUUCGCUGUUCGUUGUUCGCUAUUCACAUGGAGGAAACGGCACUGCUUUCCAGCUCCCUUUGCCACUGCCUGCCGUUGCAGUUGUGUCCUCUGUUUCAGUUCCAAGGGAAGACAGCUGUUAUGAGUGGUGGUGGCUUGGCCACUAACAAAGAGAUGCAACAGACCCAAACUCCACCGGUCACCGCUGUUGUUCUGCCCUCUGUCUUCAUUGACGCUGUUUUCCCCUCCACCGUCGUGAGUUUUCGCUCGUCCAUCGCGGAAGCACCGACCUCGGCGCUGCUCCUAACUUUGUUGUCUUCGCAGAAUCGCCACAGAUCGCGGCCGUACUCAUCAUCUGUGGCGGUCGUCCGCGGGUUCGGCGCCGCCCUUGGAAGAAAUCGCCAAUUGUCCUCGGCCAUAACCGUUUCCUCCAAAUGCACCAAAUGUAGAUCUAGGUGUUCUUCUCCUGUGUGUUCUGGAAUGAGAGGUAAUUUUGAUUGCAGUUCUGGAAUUGAAUUCUAGAAUCUUGCUUGAACUGAAAUUGCUGUUGAUUCUACAGGUUGAAAUUCAAAAUUGAAAGCUAAUUCUUCUUCUUCGGUCAAAUCUGUUGCUUCUUCUUCAUUUUCUUCAAAAAUAAACAAGGAAGAAUGAAUUAUUGCUCGAUUUGCCAGCUCUGUUGAUUUUAUUUUUUGUUGAGGUUGAAUUGUAAAAUUGAAAUCUGUUGCUUCCUGUUCUGUGUAUGCAGAAGUCAUUGCUAAGUCCAAAAGUUUUGGUGCUGCAUUCUUGACUUGUGCAUCUGAUAUUUGUUGAAUUUUCUAUCUCUGAAAUUUCUGCUUCUAGAUUUUGGUUGAAUUGUCUACUUCUAGUUUAUCUAGAAUUGUUAGAUCCAGUGUGUCUAUUGAUGAUUUUGUUGCUGCAUUCUCUAAUUCUUUAUUCUCAUAAAUCGAGUAUGAAUUUUGGAAUUGCAGAACUGGAAUUGAUGAAUUUGCUAUUUCUGAAUUUGUUGAAAUAUUGAUGAUUGGGUGAGAAUCUGAUGCUGAUUUGGCUUGAAUCUAUUGAUUAGCGUUCAAGGUCGCACAAAUUUUGGUGCAAGUUGUUUGAAUUUCUUCAAGUAUCUUGGUACGUUCUUGAUAAUAUGAAUUUAAGCUUUGUAAAUUAGUUUGAAUUUAUCUCAAAUGGAAUCCGCAGAAUUACUAUGAGAGUUUAGUAUGGUGAGAAGAGAGAAUUAGAGAUAAUAAAAAAGAAUAGAAGAAAAAUCUUUAGAAGUAGGACAAAAGAAAAAAAAUAGAAUUUUUAAUUAUAUCAUACAUAUUUCACAUUAUUACAUCAUACUCUUAUUUAUAGUAUAAUUUUCAUUCUCUAGUUGGAUUAGCUCAAUACUAAUCCUAUCAAGAGCACACAACAAAAAUAGGUUGGGAAGCAACCAGUAAGUAAAAAGAGAGAGAAGAGGUUAAUUGAUAAAAAACAAAAACAAACAGAAAAAACAUUUUUUUUUAAAUUAAAAUUAUUUUUAAGGUUAAUUGAUUUUUUUUGAAAUAAUUUGAUGAUUUAAAUUUUAUUUUAGUCGUUACUGAGCUAUUAUGUAUGCUUGUUUCGUUAAUAAUAAACAUCAUCACUGUAUGAAUGUGGUGAUAGCUAGGUAAGGUUAUAUGAGCACCUUCGGUGUGCUCUUAUGGCUUUACCUGUGUUUUGCUACUGCAAAGUUUUAACCACCAUGAAAUAAAAGAUCUUCAAGUAUAUUAUGUUUUAAUUUCUUUGAAAUUAAUGAAAAUCAAACACUUC
RNAcentral lists this long non-coding RNA (6440 nucleotides) under Arachis ipaensis. RNAcentral's name for it is "long non-coding RNA (AIPA_LNC001909)". The record is from RNAcentral. Lineage: Eukaryota; Viridiplantae; Streptophyta; Magnoliopsida; Fabales; Fabaceae.